GUGGCCCCAAGUCAGG
RNAcentral lists this ribosomal RNA (16 nucleotides) under Renealmia cernua. Its description in RNAcentral is "partial 26S ribosomal RNA". Lineage: Eukaryota; Viridiplantae; Streptophyta; Magnoliopsida; Zingiberales; Zingiberaceae. The record is from RNAcentral.